AUGUCUUCGUGCGAGGACAAGGACUCCGCCACCACGCAGGCCGCAGCGACCACGGACAUGGAGCUACUGAAGCAGUUUUGGCGUAACGAGAAGGCCGCGCUGGAGAUCCUCCACUUCGACUCCGCCCUCGUCUCCCAUACCCUAUGGCCAUUGGUAGAGGAGACGUUUGAUGACUUCACGGAUAACGGCAUCGAUGACCUAGUGGUUUCAUUGUACCAGAUGGAGCUCGACCACACGCUCUUCCUGCUCUGCUCCUACGGUCAUACCUACGCCUCCAAGCUUCCCUACGGUCAUGACUCGGUAACAAGGCAAUCAUCAUCGAGCACGGAGGAUGACAUGGGUACUCCACUUGAUCUUGAAAUUAACAUCACUUCUUUGUCACAGUUGUUGCCUCCACUACGCGCUCGACCUAGCUCCUGA
This 420-nucleotide ribosomal RNA is filed under the name Triticum aestivum (bread wheat). RNAcentral describes it as "partial small subunit ribosomal RNA". Lineage: Eukaryota; Viridiplantae; Streptophyta; Magnoliopsida; Poales; Poaceae. The record is from RNAcentral.